This is a non-coding RNA of Phoenix dactylifera (date palm), 1203 nucleotides long. The record is from RefSeq and is a predicted model, not a curated record. NCBI's taxonomy places the organism in Eukaryota, Viridiplantae, Streptophyta, Magnoliopsida, Arecales, Arecaceae.
UGUAUAAGCCACACGACAAGUUGCGGUGUCCCACGAUCGGAAGGCAGAGGAAUUCUCGUGCGUUUCUUCUACGCGAUUUCUUCCCGAUAUCUGGUCGCCGGUCGUCGGGCAAAUCACCCGCAGAAUAUCGGAGUCUUAGCGAGAGGCGAAGGAAAAGGGGCAAAAAGAGAGCGGAACGAAAGAUGCAGAUAUUCGUGAAGACGCUGACGGGGAAGACGAUAACGCUCGAGAUCGAGAGCAGCGACACCAUCGACAAUGUCAAAGCCAAGAUCCAGGACAAGGAGGGGAUACCCCCAGAUCAGCAAAGGCUGAUUUUUGCUGGGAAACAGUUGGAAGAUGGUCGAACUCUAGCUGAUUACAAUAUUCAAAAAGAGUCGACUCUUCACCUGGUUUUGAGGCUUAGGGGUGGAACAAUGAUUAAGGUGAAGACCCUUACUGGAAAAGAAAUUGAAAUUGACAUUGAACCCACUGACACCAUUGAUAGGAUCAAAGAAAGGGUUGAGGAGAAAGAAGGCAUUCCACCUGUCCAACAAAGCUGUUUGCAGUUUGAUCGGAAAAUCUAUAGUUGGAUGGUAGUGGCCAGGAUUUUGUUUUGCAAACUCUACUGGAAGUCUUAUCCAUGUGAAGCUCUUAAUCUCUUGAUCCAUGUGGUGUGCACCAAGGGACGACAGAAAAUGUCCCAGUUCAUACUCUUUUCAUUAUGAGGAUGCCAUGAUGGCUUGGUCUUCUUCUUUUUAUACAAAGGAUUAUGAUGGCUAGAUCUCUCUUUUAGGACCCAGUUCCUAAACAGUCAUUUUUCUUAGCCGACCAAGAUUACUUGUGGGUCAUUGCCGUCUGCCACCAAAAUACUGUUUUUAAACCUUUCUUUUCAGAUGGCGGAGAUGGAUGGCAAAUAUGGUUGAAAGGUAUGAGAAGGCUGAUAUAUGCAGGCAAGCAACUAGCUGAUGACAAAAACUGCGAAGGACUACAACAUUGAGGGUGGUUCUGUCCUCCAUCUCGUUCUUGCUCUAAGGGGUGGUAGCUCGUAGUGCUGGCUUCUGUGAAAACCAUUUAGUAAGAAGCCAAUAAUUCCCAUAUGUUUUGAUGAACUCUUUUUGCAAGAGAUUCUUGAGACUAAAUAUGCAAUGCUUUCUGUCAAAAGGCACUAGUUAUUGCAAAUGGUUGCUUGAAAUAACAAGGAGAACGCUUCAAUUGUACUCAUUA